AGCAGCCGCGGUAAUUCCAGCUCCAAUAGCGUAUAUUAAAGUUGUUGCAGUUAAAAAGCUCGUAGUUGAAUUUCGGGAUCAAGGAAUCGGUCAUGCCUCGGUAUGUACUGGUUUUAUUGGUUCUCACCUUCUAAAGAACCAUAAUGUCAUUCAUUUAAUGUUAUGGGGAAUUAGGACUGUUACCUUGAAAAAUUAGAGUGUUUAAAGCAGGCUCACGCUUGAAUACAUUAGCAUGGAAUAAUGAAAUAGGACGUUUGAUUCUAUUUUGUUGGUUUCUAGGAUCGACGUAAUGAUUAAUAGGGAUAGUUGGGGGCAUUAGUGUUCAAUUGUCAGAGGUGAAAUUCUUGGAUUUAUUGAAGACUAACUACUGCGAAAGCAUUUGCCAAGGAUGUUUUCAUUAAUCAAGAACGAAAGUUAGGGGAUCGAAGACGAUCAGAUACCGUCGUAGUCUUAACCAUAAACUAUGCCGACUAGGGAUCGGAUGAUGUUAAUUUUUUAAUGUACUCUA
RNAcentral lists this ribosomal RNA (508 nucleotides) under uncultured Glomeraceae. RNAcentral's name for it is "SSU rRNA". It matches the Rfam family "Eukaryotic small subunit ribosomal RNA", at positions 569 to 1083 of the family's 1831-position model. The record is from RNAcentral. Lineage: Eukaryota; Fungi; Glomeromycota; Glomeromycetes; Glomerales; Glomeraceae.